CUCCAAAGACAACAAUAAACAACAGAAGUGGCAGAAAUGAUGAACAAUUUUCCUUUCGUGUAAAUUUGUUCCUUUUUCUUCUUCUUCUUUCUUUUUUCUUUUUUUUUUUUAAAUUCCCUUUACACUUUCUUUUGCAGUUGCAAAUGUUUUGAGAAUCCAUCAUCUUCCCAGGUUGAUGGUACGGCCCUCGUGACCCAGCUGUGAGUCACCAUUCCCAGCUGGGUGGCUCUGAAGAGAGACAAGAAGCUCAGAUGUGUCCCUGAUUCCCCACCAGCUCAGGCCAGGAACAUCUGUCUGCUCCUUCCCUUCCUUCAGACGGUCCCAAGGAGGGGGCAGACAGCAAUAUCUCCCAAGAAGGGCAGUGGAGCUGGGGAAGCCUCUGGAGCACCAGAAGUGACUGGAGGUGGGGCUCAGCAUGAAGAAAAAGAGGAUCAGAGGGGACCUCUCCACAACUCCCUGACAGGAGGGUGCAGCCAGGUGAGGCUUUGUCCCUCCUCCUCAAGUAUCAAGUAAUAGGAGGAGAGGAACGACCUCAAGGUUUAGAUUGGGUAUCAGGGAAAGUUUCUUCACUGAAAGGGCUCUCCAGCCCUGGCACAGCUGCCCAGGGUGGUGGUGGAGUCCCCAUCCCCAGAGGAGUUUAAAAUAUAUGUGAAUGUGACAGCGAGGGACAUGGUCUAAUGGUGGGCCUGAUAACCUUAAUUAUCUUUUUGACCUGAGUGAUUCAAUGAAACAUUAAUAAUUUUGCUUUUAUUUUAAAUACACAGCCUUUUCCUGGAGUCUAGUCAGGAGCCAGAGGAUCUGAGAAGUUGUGGUAAAAAAUUGUCAGUUCAUUCAGUGAAAACGUGACAAAAUGGUCUAAGGAUAAGCUGAGUUUCUCCAGUUUCAGUUACCAGUUCUUGGUUUGUGGAGGAUGAAGGAGAUGUUCUUAACAUUGCCCAAAUGCAGAACUGGGAAUUUGACGUGCAGAUCUUCCCUUGUUUGUGAAAAUAUGUGUCUGAACAACCCUGAGAGCUGAAGUGUUGAAAUCCUGGCUGAGAAUAUAUAUCCAGGAUUAGGAACAGAGAACUUCAGUGGGAAAAGUCAUCUGGGAUUUCUUAGACAUUCCUCUGGUUGGAAACUUGGCCAUAAAAGUUCUUCCUUUUUUGUCCCCAAGGUAUUGUUGUCAGACACUUGGUACCUGAAGAUUUUCCUUUCCCAUUAUUGAAGUUUUCCUAACCCAAUGUG
This 1224-nucleotide long non-coding RNA is filed under the name Parus major (Great Tit). RNAcentral's name for it is "lncRNA (ENSPMJG00000019987.1)". Lineage: Eukaryota; Metazoa; Chordata; Aves; Passeriformes; Paridae. The record is from RNAcentral.